Molecule: non-coding RNA, 2498 nt
Organism: Paramisgurnus dabryanus
Lineage: Eukaryota; Metazoa; Chordata; Actinopteri; Cypriniformes; Cobitidae
Source: RefSeq, a predicted model, not a curated record
AAACAGAAAUGUAGAAUGACAGUCGCUCAAUCUGUUGCAAGCAAUGACUUUCAAACAGCAAGUGCUAAAGAAGCCAAACACGCAGAAUUACAAGUCCAACGCUGAAACUGCUGGAAAAGAACAGUGAAAAAGAUACAGGUCUUCAUUCUUGAUGGGAUUCAGAAACUGAACUACUGUGUCUUCACAGACAAAUAAUCCAAAAUCAGCCUAAGAGUGUGGAGUAAACAGCAUCAAGCCUCUCUUUAAUAGGGAACUCAUCUAUAAAAACAAACACUUGUUAUACUUUUAUGAAUUAUCAAGUUGUACAACACACAGCAAUAAGGAUUUAGACAAACAAUCACAGAUUUUAUUAAUUUUAUUGUUGUGUCUAAUAUAUAUAGAAACAACUUGUGUUGUAAAAGAAAGGAUGACAGCAUAUCUCUUUAUCACGUGCCAGUAUAGGCCCUGACUGCACGUGAGAACAUUUGAAUUAUCUGGCACGAGGCCUCACACGUCAUACUUCAACUGACACAACGGUCUCGAUGGGUAAGAUUUCGUUACCAUAUACAGUAAAUAUUGGUUCAAGAGGGCAGUUUGAUAACUCAGUCGAGGUUUGUAAAUGGGGUUUCUGUUCCUGCAGUCUUUCAGGGGUGCUGGCGCGUAUGACGAUGCGGACAUGAACAGCAUACUACACUUUUAAACAUCUAAACAUGUCCUCCAAAAAGGUUUCCUGUGCUGUUUUGCUCCAUUUUACUGAACAAAAUAAGGCUGAGGUAGCACCAUCCUUGUGGUUAGAGUGAAAGAAUGUGGGUAUUGAGACCAAAAUAAACAAUGUGCCAUUCUGGACAAACAGCUGUGGACAAUAUGCAGUCAGAGUAGCCCAUUUUCUCACACAGACCUGAGGAUAAGAUUUCCAGUUUGAAAGUGAAGAAAAUGAAUCAUUAUUAACAGCAAAUAGGAGUAUUUCUCAGCUGAAAAGCCAGGUGAAACUAUAAGGUCACUAUGAUUCACUUUCAUAGUAUCAUUCUUUUCAGAUUUUUUUCCCUGUGUUUUUUUUGUUAGAUGAGGAGCAACCAGUAAGAAAAAGCAAAAAGAUGUUUUGAUGUUGCCUGAGGCACCUUAUUUUCCAUUUCAUGCACAAUCACAAAUGCAGCACAUCAAUCAAUUUCUUCCAACCAGCGAAUCAAGAAAUCUUGGAGUGGAGAAUCAUUCUGAAAGUAGACCAAAUCCAGGACAACAUCACAACAGUGGUCGGAAAAAUGCAGCAAGCCAAGCUGACUUUCAAAAGAUGAUUCGUUAUCUGUUUCUUCAGAGGGGAGGCAGUUUGGGAGAUGGGAAUUAGGAGGAUGCUACAGUUACACAGGGCAAAUUUCAGCAGCUCAGUUUCAAACUUGCAACUAACAUUGAGUUAAACUGGUCAGGGUGGAAGACCAGCUGACGUACCAGUUUUGCCAGGUUAAAGGACCAGCUUAAACCAGCUAAGACAGCCAACCAACUUAGCCAAGGUGGUAUAUGCUGGUGGGUCAGCUGGUCUUCCCGCCUGACCAGCUACAAAGUGGCCAAAACCUCUGUAAAACAAUCCUGCUACACCAGCCUGACCAGCUGAAACCAUACUGGGAGUAUUCAUAUUCAUAUCGAUUUGCAUUUACAAAUAAAAUAGGUAACUUACAGUACUGUGCAAAGUCUAGGCCACCAUCACCAGCUUUGUUGUUUUAGCUCAAUUUAAAUGCCCAUCCAUAUUUAUUUUUUACUCUUUUUAUUAAGAUACAAACAGAAAAUACAGGAAAUAUGUACACAAAAUUAAAAACAUCAGUCAGUAUUUAGUGUGACUUCUCUUGGCACGAAACACAUCUUGAGCUUUUUUGAGGAGACUGAAGUCAUUCGAUUAGAAUUAGAAAGGAUUAAAUUUUAUUUAUGUGUAAGAGAUCCUGCAGUUGCCUGCUAUUGCUCAAGUUGAAGGUGAGUUUACCCUAAAUACUUUAAACUUCAGCUUAAACUUUUAUACUGUUUUUUAAUACUACAUACACAUUUCCUGUAUUUUCUGGUUGUAUUCUAAUAAAGAGACUGAGAAAUAAACAUAUGAUCACUAAACAAUUGCAAAAACAACAAAUCUAAUGGUAGCAUGCAGACUUUUGCACAGAACUGUAUGUCCACAUUUAGCCACCUUUACUUUGAGUGAACUGUAACAGCAACUAUAAUGCCAUAAACAUUCAAUACUAAGGUAAAAGAGAGUUGUGCAUGCUUUCUAGUUUUAGCACAGAAUUCUGUCUCCCUUUUAAAUGUUUGCUACAGAUUUUUUGCAAGACAUUUUUGUCCAACCUAAAAACAACUUGUACUGACAUAUAUUAAAAUACAUCAGUGCCCUUUGUUUUUUUUUUACAUCAGAUUGCACACAAGUAAUGUUUUAGUAAGGCAUGUUUGUUAAAACUGGUUAUAUUUCAUAAUUAAACUGAGGCAUAGUCCUGGUUUAAGCUCCUUGUCUGGGAAACCACCCCAAUAAAUACUUAACUUUUGAAUGU